RNAcentral lists this signal recognition particle RNA (273 nucleotides) under Mus caroli (Ryukyu mouse). Its description in RNAcentral is "predicted gene, 24514 (MGP_CAROLIEiJ_G0008633.1)". It matches the Rfam family "Metazoan signal recognition particle RNA". From Rfam's summary of the family: The signal recognition particle (SRP) is a universally conserved ribonucleoprotein. It is involved in the co-translational targeting of proteins to membranes. The eukaryotic SRP consists of a 300-nucleotide 7S RNA and six proteins: SRPs 72, 68, 54, 19, 14, and 9. Lineage: Eukaryota; Metazoa; Chordata; Mammalia; Rodentia; Muridae. The record is from RNAcentral.
GCCGGGCGCGGUGGCGCACGCCUGUAGUCCCAGCUACUCCGGAGGCUGAGACAGGAGGAUCGCUCGAGUCCAGGAGUUCUGGGCUGUAGUGCGCUAUGCGUGACUGCACUAAGUUCGGCAUCAAUAUGGCGACCUCCCGGGAGCGGGGGACCACCAGGUUACCUAAGGAGAGGUGAACUGGCCCAGGUCAGAAAUGGAGCAGGUCAAAACUCUCGUGCUAAUCAGAAGAAAAUCUGCGUUUAUUUCCCAAUUCUCCAGUGGCCAGAAGGAAGU